CAGCCGCCGCGGUAAUACGGAUGGNNCCAGCGUUGUUCGGAAUCAUUGGGCGUAAAGGGCGCGCUAGGCGGCCGAUCAAGUCGAACGUGAAAUCCCCCGGCUCAACCGGGGACCUGCGUCCGAUACUGCUCGGCUCGAGUCCCGGAGAGGGUAGUGGAAUUCCCAGUGUAGCGGUGAAAUGCGUAGAUACUGGGAGGAACACCGGUGGCGAGGGCGGCUCCCUGGACCGGUACUGACGCUGAGGUGCGAAAGCGUGGGUAGCAAACAGGAUUAGAUACCCUGGUAGUCCACGCCGUAAACGAUGGGCACUAGGUGCAGCGGGUGUCGACCCCUGCUGUGCCGAAGUUAACGCAUUAAGUGCCCCGCCUGGGGAGUACGGUCGCAAGGCUGAAACUUAAAGGAAUUGACGG
Molecule: ribosomal RNA, 410 nt
Filed under: uncultured bacterium
Lineage: Bacteria
Description: bacterial SSU rRNA
Rfam family: Bacterial small subunit ribosomal RNA
Source: RNAcentral